GGAGAAUUGGUUAUUGAAAUCAGUUUCUUCGUCUUUGUUGUUAUAUAAGAAACACUUAUUCGAAGAACAAGAGAAAUAGAUAAAAAGAUGCAAUGCAUAAGUAGAUAAUAUCAUCAAGUAGAAAAAUUCAACCUGAUGUUUAUUUUAAGUUCUAACAUAUUUUUCCUAUUCAUGUACAUACAAGUUUCAGAUGUUAUUUUGUCACACCUACCGAGGAUCUAACAUUGUGAUUGUGAACUCAUUGUUUGAACUUCUUGUCUGCGACACUGAUUUUGCUUCAUCGAAUAUGUUUCGUUCUGUGAAAAAUCCUGGUUCUUUUGCUUUUGGAAGUAGACUCUCAUUAGCCAACAUAUGAACCACAGAAGACAUGCUUGGUCUAUCAUCUGGAUGUUGUUGCACGCAUAAUAACCCCACGUGAAUUAACCUCAAAACUUGAGAUAUAUGCAAAGAAUCGGCUAGUUGCUCAUCAAUUAGUUCCAAGGACAUAUCUUCUUUGUAAAGAUUCCAUGCGUGACCGAGAAGGUUAAGGUUGUGAUCUUGAUGGACA
Molecule: unclassified non-coding RNA, 547 nt
Filed under: Hevea brasiliensis (rubber tree)
Lineage: Eukaryota; Viridiplantae; Streptophyta; Magnoliopsida; Malpighiales; Euphorbiaceae
Source: RNAcentral